Long non-coding RNA from Mauremys mutica (yellowpond turtle), 233 nucleotides. RefSeq lists it as uncharacterized. The transcript has 3 exons. NCBI's taxonomy places the organism in Eukaryota, Metazoa, Chordata, Testudines, Geoemydidae. The record is from RefSeq and is a predicted model, not a curated record.
CACGUAUUGAAAGCGUCAGGGGCAGCUGAUCUGUCGGUUGCAGGAGGCAGGACGCGUAUGUGCAAAAGGGGAUCUUAGGUGAAGUCCUAAUGCUGAGUGCCUGUUGAUUCAGUUGUCCAGGUCCUAGAAGAACUGAGUGUCUGCCAAGUAUACAGAAUGUGCACAGCAGUUCAAGCUGCUGCACUCCACCACUGUAUAUCAAUCUUCCUAUGCCCGGAUCCCCUCCUAAGGGG